This 1850-nucleotide long non-coding RNA is filed under the name Helianthus annuus (common sunflower). Lineage: Eukaryota; Viridiplantae; Streptophyta; Magnoliopsida; Asterales; Asteraceae. The record is from RNAcentral.
AUGCAAAUGAACAACAGACCGAGAAUAACGGUUUUGAAAAUGGAGAUUCAUGAUCCACCAUUCAAUUCAGAGCGAGAGAUAGAUAAUGUAGAAGAAUUUAGGUUUUCAUUUCUUUGUUUUCAACGAAACAAUUCCCGUUAUAGACCGUGAAUAUCACAACACAUCAACUCGUAUGUAAUUUUUCCUAACAAUCUGCUUCCUUAAAUUGUAUCAAUUAUUCUGUAAUCGUUUAGUUAUUAUGUUUGAUUUUAGUCUGAUUUUGUAUGUGUGAGCUAGCUAGCGCUUAUGUGUUUGAUUUUGGAUUUUUAGGGUUUGUUUAUGCGGACGAAAAUUGAGUUUUUCAGAAACUUGAAAAUAAUAAUUAAUUAGUGUUAUUGCGUACAUAUUUUGGAAUUAAGGCGUUACGUUAUUAAGAUAAUUGAAAUAGGUUUGCAAUGUGAGGGUUAUUGACAUCAUCAUUUGAUGCAUGGGUGCUCAUCAAAUGUGAAAUGAGGCAACUCAACGCUGAAUAUCUCAUGUUUGAUUUUCGGGUUCAGUGGUACAAUUUUUAGGGGUUUUGGACAUGUUUUAGGCUUGUUUAGGGCUAGUUUAGCUGUUUAGGUUGAUUUCAGGUUUGCUUUGGGCUGGUAUAAUUGUUUCAGAUGGUUUUCGGCCGAAAUGUGGCUUGAAACAUGUGCCCGAGGGCCUGAAAGUUGGGCUUUUGAAGCGAAGCGAGAAGGCUGCCCUUGGCCUAAAAAGUGGGCCCUAGGCUCUCACCUGGGUGAGCCUUGACAAUAGAGUCCACGACCUAAUGUGUCAAGGGUUACAUUUUGUUCUGUGCAUUUGCAGAAGAAAUUUUGCAUAAAAGACUUGUUAGGAUUUAUUAGCAAGAGUUGUGAAAGACACUUGUUGUUAAAACCCUUGAUCAGUAGUUAGCAACCUAUGAGCUCGUUUUGGCUGGAGUUUGCGUAAAUUAGAAUCAGAUUGGUAUUUGGGUGCCAUGAAUGAUGUUUUGACAAUUGGGUGGUCUUAGGUAAACAUUCUCAAUAAUUGGUGUCUCUGUUUGGGUUUUGUAUAUGUAGGCUUGCCUUUUUUUUCUUUGUUUUUUUUUUUCCUUUUCAGGGUUGCUUCUUGGCUAUUAGUUAGCUGUUUUGAAGUUUGUGGUUAUGAUAAGGUAAUGGGCAAUGGAAUUGAGGAUGAAGAUAAGACCCCACCGUCAGCUAGAUCUCGAUUACCAGGAGUAACGGUUGGAGUAGCUCCCUCUUUUAGAAGUGCUGAACGUGCUGAGAAACGUAAGGAGUUCCAUAUGAAGCUAGAGCAAAAGAACCAAGCUUUGGAAGCAGAGAAGAUGGAAUGCCAAAUGAGGGCCAUGGAAGAGGAAGAAGCAGCUAUAAAGGAGCUCCGAAAGGGCAUGGUUGUAAAAGCACAUACUGUUCCAAGUUUUUACUAUGAAGAACCUCCACCCAAGUUUGAACCUAAAAAGAUGCCUGUGACCCGUGCCAAAUCACCCAACUUAACCCGGGGAAGGAGCUGCAAUGGUACACGCCAUUUAUCCAUGGAUGGCAGGGGCCCGUCUUCACGGGCUACACCUCUCAAGGGACGGCGUAGUAUUACUCCAAAUCCCAAGAGGAAUAAGUAAUCACAAAGUAAGAAUUGCCCAAAACGGGCCGACGAGGCUCGACCAUAAACUAUAUCUUGUAACUCAACCGCGAACAGCAAUACAAAUGUUGUUGUUAACUCAUGAAUUUAGUCUUUAGUUUUGUUGUACUUCCAUUAGAAGUAGUUGUGUACAGAGUUUUCAACUUUUGAUUAUAAGUUCAUGUACGUUGCAUAUAAGUUUUUUUUUUUUGGUAUAUAACUAUUACUUUCUU